CUCGUGUCGUGAGAUGUUGGGUUAAGUCCCGCAACGAGCGCAACCCUUAUCCUUAGUAGCCAGCAGGGAAAGCUGGGCACUAUAGGGAGACUGCCAGGGAUAACCUGGAGGAAGGUGGGGAUGACGUCAAAUCAUCAUGCCCUCUAUGAUUUGGGUUACACACGUGUUACAAUGGCGUAAACAAAGGGAAGCGAAGUGGCGACAUGGAGCGAACCCCAAAAAUAACGUCUCAGUUCGGAUUGCAGGUUGCAACCCGCCUGCAUGAAGCUGGAAUCGUUAGUAAUAGCAGAUCAGAAUGCUGCGGUGAAUACGUUCCCGGGUCUUGUACACCCCGCCCGUCACACCAUGGGAGUCGAUAACGCCGGAAGUCAGUGACCCAACCGAAAGGAGGGAGCUGCCGAAGGCGGGAUGGAUAACUGGGGUGAAGUCGUAACAAGGUAGCCGUAUCGGAAGGUGCGGUUGGAUCACCUCU
Molecule: ribosomal RNA, 472 nt
Filed under: uncultured bacterium
Lineage: Bacteria
Description: bacterial SSU rRNA
Rfam family: Bacterial small subunit ribosomal RNA
Source: RNAcentral